CCCAGCCGAUGGAUAGUCAGUAAAGAAUCAGAAUUACCUGGAAAGGUAAGCCGGAGAGGGUGACAGCCCCGUACGAGUAGAAAAGCUGACUGUUCUUGAGUAAGGCGGAGCACGAGAAAUUCUGUCUGAAAAUGGGGAGACCACUCUCCAAGGCUAAGUACUACUGAUUGACCGAUAGUGAACAAGUACCGUGAGGGAAAGGUGAAAAGCACCCCUAUAAGGGGAGUGAAAGAGAACCUGAAACCGGAUGCCUACAAGCAGUCGGAGGGUCUAUAAGGCCUGACGGCGUACCUUUUGUAUAAUGGGUCAGCGACUUAAUUUAUGUAGCAAGCUUAAGCCGAUAGGUGUAGGCGUAGAGAAAUCGAGUGUUAACAGCGCGUUAAGUUACAUGAAUUAGACCCGAAACCGAGUGAUCUAGCCAUGAUCAGGUUGAAGGUUGGGUAACACCAACUGGAGGACCGAACCCACUCCCGUUGAAAAGGUAGGGGAUGAAUUGUGGCUAGGGGUGAAAGGCCAAUCAAACUCGGAAAUAGCUGGUUCUCCGCGAAAACUAUUUAGGUAGUGCGGUGAGCGGACACCUUGAGGGGUAGAGCACUGGAAGAGCUAAGGGGGAGCGAUCCUUACUAAACUUUACCAAACUCCGAAUACUCAAGAGUGAUACUCACCAGACAGACAUUAGGUGCUAAGGUCUAGUGUCGAGAGGGAAAGAGCCCAGACCGCCAAUUAAGGUCCCAAAAUUAUGGCUAAGUGGUAAAGGAAGUGAAACGUCCAAAACAGUCAGGAGGUUGGCUUAGAAGCAGCCAUCCUUUAAAGAAAGCGUAAUAGCUCACUGAUCUAAACAAGACGUCUUGCGCCGAAGAUGUAACGGGGCUAAAGCCAUAUACCGAAGUUGCGGAUUUACACGUUAAAGUGUAAGUGGUAGCGGAGCGUUCUGUAAGCCUGCGAAGGUGUACCGUAAGGUAUGCUGGAGGUAUCAGAAGUGAGAAUGCUGACAUGAGUAGCGAAAAGAAGAGUGAGAGACUCUUCCGCUGAAAGUCCAAGGUUUCCUGCGUAAAGCUAAUCUGCGCAGGGUUAGUCGGUCCCUAAGGCGAGGCAGAGAUGCGUAGUCGAUGGCAAUCAGGUUAAUAUUCCUGAACCGGCCCGGAAGUGACGGAUUGAGUAAAUUGUAAGUUCUUAUUGGAUUGAACUUGCAGUGAAUCAGUCCCAGGAAAUAGCCCGGGCUAAGACCGUACCCGAAACCGACACAGGUGGACAGGUAGAGAAUACCAAAGCGCUUGAGAGAACUAUGUUGAAGGAACUAGGCAAAAUACUUGCGUAACUUCGGGAUAAGCAAGCCCCAUUUUAAGGCAACUUAGGGUGGGGGGCACAUACUAGGGGGUAGCGACUGUUUACUAAAAACACAGGGCUCUGCUAAAUUGAAAGAUGAAGUAUAGGGUCUGACGCCUGCCCGGUGCUGGAAGGUUAAGGAGAGAUGUGCAAGCAUUGAAUUGAAGCCCCAGUAAACGGCGGCCGUAACUAUAACGGUCCUAAGGUAGCGAAAUUCCUUGUCGGGUAAGUUCCGACCUGCACGAAUGGCGUAACGACUUCCCCGCUGUCUCCAACAUAGGCUCAGCGAAAUUGAACUCUGAGUUAAGAUGCUCAGUACCCGCGGUUAGACGGAAAGACCCCGUGAACCUUUACUAUAGCUUUGCAGUGGUAUUAGGUAACAAAUGUGUAGAAUAGGUGGGAUGCUAUGAAGCUACGACGCCAGUUGUAGUGGAGCAGACUUUGAAAUACCACCCUUUUGUUGUUUGAUAUCUAACCUGCUCCCGUUAUCCGGGAGAGGGACCCUGCAUGGUGGGUAGUUUGACUGGGGCGGUCGCCUCCCAAAGAGUAACGGAGGCGCGCAAAGGUUGGCUCAGAUUGGUCAGAAAUCAAUCGUCGAGUGCAAUGGCAUAAGCCAGCCUGACUGCGAGAGAGACAUUUCGAGCAGAUACGAAAGUAGGUCAUAGUGAUCCGGUGGUCCCGAG
Molecule: ribosomal RNA, 2009 nt
Filed under: human gut metagenome
Description: bacterial LSU rRNA
Rfam family: Bacterial large subunit ribosomal RNA
Source: RNAcentral